Camelina sativa (false flax) is the source of this 1833-nucleotide long non-coding RNA. RefSeq lists it as uncharacterized. NCBI's taxonomy places the organism in Eukaryota, Viridiplantae, Streptophyta, Magnoliopsida, Brassicales, Brassicaceae. The record is from RefSeq and is a predicted model, not a curated record.
ACUCCACCCUGCCGUCUUCCUAUCUGCGACUUCAACCGUCCCUUUCCUCCUUCGUUCUUUCCGUUUCACCUACUAAAGUUUUAAUGCAUAUAAUUCAAAUUAAUAUUCGUCAUUCCUCCACACCGUCUCAUAGCCUGCCCUGUAUUCCAUCUCCAUAGUAACGACUUAUUGUAUAACGGAAAUUCAUGUCGUUCGAUGCUCUCUCUUUUAAUUCACGACCCACUGCUCAGAUUUUACUUUGUCUUACACUUCUUUUCUGACUAACAUGACGAGAGCAGACAAGUGAUGGCGAGAGGAAAAACAAAAAGAGAGAGAUAAGAACAGGAACAAGAAGAGUGAUGAUUUCGAUGAUCUGCCAAUUUCUUUUGGUUUCAUACUCAAUCCAAACAGCUCAUCAAUCACUUUUGUUUAUUUCAUUUCAUAUUUGCUUUGUGAUUUGCUAACAAUUUGUGUUUCUUCUGUAUAUGUUAAUGCUAGCUUGGUUUGCAACAGGAACUUCUUUUACCCGGAUUGCAGAUACAUCAACGAGAGACGACGCAGACUUGCAACAGUGGGUUCUUCUUUCUACGUUUUUGACCUCUCUAAUUACUUUGUUGUAGAAAAAUUGAUAUCCAUAUAUAUAUUAGCAAGGGCCAGUAUGUUGCAUCGUUAGCAAGGGCUCUCAUCUAUUGCCAUGACAAGUAUGUGAUUCGAUAUAAAACCAGAAAAUUUGUUAAUUGGUGCUCAUGUUUAAGCUUUACCCACCCUAAUGUUUUUUUUUUUAUAAGCGAGUAAUUGGAAUGUUGAGAAACCCUUCUCACCUAAUUAAGAUUGCCUUUGAUGUUUUAAUUCUUAUAUUAGCUUUUUUGGUUUUUGUGUGUUAAAUAUUCUGACUGCAAGUGUUAGAGUGGAAGACUCAAAAUGAGAUUGGCAAGCUAGUAACAGACUAAUACUUGAUACAGAAGAUCUUGGUGCAAUGGCUAAAGAUGUGCUUAAGAAUGUUCCACAUGUCUGCUUCUAAUUUCUAAACCUCACACAAAAAGGAUUCUGUUUAACCUCUUGGUUUCUGAUAAGGUCAUGCUCGAUGCUUCGAAACAAACACGAUGCUUGCAGAUCUUUCGUUCUCUUCAAAGAGGUUAACCAAGGUUCUCACAACUUUGAAGAUAUUAGCUCUGUUAUAGGAAGUGAUUCAAGAAGAGAGCGAAAAGAUUUACGUUAUGCUCGAUGGAAUAAUGCAGAGCCUCAGUGAAAGUAGGGUCCACCUCGAUGAAUGGUGAUGUUUCGGCUUUCCUCACAAGCAUGACCAAUGUUCAGAAAGCGAAGCUCUCAAAGAACCAGCUCAGGUUUGAUCUCUCCAAGCUGAAGUUGCCAGAGUGAGCCGCGUCCAUUGAUCUAAGUUCAAAUCAAGUGACGGGGUCGCUUUCAAGCCUGUUAAACAAUAAGACAAGCAGCUUCUUAGAAGAGGUCCAUCUCACCAACAACCAAAUCUCAGGGAGGAUCCCUGAUUUCACAGAAAGCUUGAACCUGAACGUAACAUCGGGAGCAACAAAAUCAGUGGACAAAUCCCAAGUUCAAUACCAAACCUUGCUGAACUUGAGACUGGACAUCUCAAGAAAUCACUUUUUUUUUUUUUUUUUNACUCAGGAGUGAUCCUAAAGGUUUCCUAGGCCCAAAGACUAAUCUCCUAAAGCCGAGAGAAACCAUGUUAAAAUUCGAACCCCCGUGGCCAAUGCUACUCGAACCCAGGUGGCGGGACUUUUCUCCCUUUAUCACAUUACAGGAGGCAUACCUCAAGCCCUGGGACAGCUAGGCAGCUCAAUUGGCUCGACAUCUCAGUCAAUGCACUUACAAUUA